RNAcentral lists this ribosomal RNA (460 nucleotides) under uncultured bacterium. Its description in RNAcentral is "partial 16S ribosomal RNA". It matches the Rfam family "Bacterial small subunit ribosomal RNA", at positions 338 to 795 of the family's 1533-position model. The record is from RNAcentral.
CCUACGGGAGGCAGCAGUGAGGAAUAUUGGUCAAUGGGCGGAAGCCUGAACCAGCCAAGUAGCGUGCAGGAUGACGGCCCUACGGGUUGUAAACUGCUUUUAUACGGGAAUAACGCGCCUUACGUGUAGGGCUUUGCAUGUACCGUAUGAAUAAGGACCGGCUAAUUCCGUUCCAGCAGCCGCGCUAAUACGGAAGGUCCGGGCGUGAUCCGGAUGUAGUGGGUUUAAAGGGCGCGUAGGCCGCAUGGCAAGCGUGCUGUGAAAUGUCCGGGCUCAACCCGGGCCUUGCAGCGCGAACUGGCGUGCUAGAGUCCGCGGAAAGCAGGCAGAAUUCGUGGUGUAGCGGUGAAAUGCUUAGAUAUGACGAAGAACCCCGAUUGCGAAGGCAGCUUGCUGCAGCGGAACUGACGCUGAUGCUCGAAAGCGCGGGUAUCGAACAGGAUUAGAUACCCUAGUAGUC